GCGCCCUUAGCUCAGCUGGAUAGAGCGUGUGGCUUCGGACCACAAGGCCGGGGGUUCAAAUCCUCCAGGGCGCGCCA
RNAcentral lists this transfer RNA (77 nucleotides) under bacterium. RNAcentral's name for it is "tRNA-Arg". It matches the Rfam family "tRNA". Rfam says of the family: Transfer RNA (tRNA) molecules are approximately 80 nucleotides in length. Their secondary structure includes four short double-helical elements and three loops (D, anti-codon, and T loops). The record is from RNAcentral.